RNAcentral lists this small RNA (558 nucleotides) under Arabidopsis thaliana (thale cress). RNAcentral describes it as "ATSL254160". The record is from RNAcentral. Lineage: Eukaryota; Viridiplantae; Streptophyta; Magnoliopsida; Brassicales; Brassicaceae.
AUUUCGAAUUAAAUAUUUGACAUUUAACAAUUUUCCUAAAAUCUCUCUACAUUAACUACACGAUUGGUUACUAAAAUAAAACUUUCAAAAUAUUUAAUAUCAUUUAAUUACUACAAAAUUAUCAUUAUUGAUAUUGUUUUUCUGCAUGACUAUUACAAUUCAAUUAUAAUCAUCAAACCGCAGAGAUAUUUGAUAGCAUUUAAUUACUAUAAAAUUACAAAAUAUUUAGACAAUGAUUCAUAAACAUAUGAUAAAUAAGAUCAACAUUAAUAAAAUAAAUGAGUUUUUUUUAUGGGACGGGUUGGCGGGAUGGGUUUGGCAGGACGUUACUUAAUAACAAUUCUAAACUAUAAAAUAAAAAUAUUUUAUAGAUAGUUACAUAAAUUGUUACAAAUUGUAAACUUUUAUAUAUACUAAUUUUAAAAUAUAAAUUGUUCUCGCGGUAUACCGCGGGUGAAAAUCUAGUUUAUUACAAUUUAAGAAACGAUAUUUUAUGGUACAGAUGUAAUUUACUAAGAUAUGCUUCUUCUUCUUUCUGCCAAGAACUAUGAUUUGUAC